GUCUGUUUUGCUCAGUGGUUAGAGCGUUGGCCUGAGGACCUAAGGGUCGCAGGUUCUAUUCCUGGUCAAGGGCA
Non-coding RNA from Myotis davidii, 74 nucleotides. The record is from Rfam. Lineage: Eukaryota; Metazoa; Chordata; Mammalia; Chiroptera; Vespertilionidae.